RNAcentral lists this ribosomal RNA (428 nucleotides) under uncultured bacterium. Its description in RNAcentral is "partial 16S ribosomal RNA". It matches the Rfam family "Bacterial small subunit ribosomal RNA", at positions 354 to 796 of the family's 1533-position model. The record is from RNAcentral.
GUGGGGAAUAUUGGGCAAUGGGGGCAACCCUGACCCAGCAACGCCGCGUGAGGGAAGAAGGUUUUCGGAUUGUAAACCUCUGUCCUAUGGGAAGAAGGAAGUGACGGUACCAUAGGAGGAAGCCCCGGCUAACUACGUGCCAGCAGCCGCGGUAAUACGUAGGGGGCGAGCGUUGUCCGGAAUUACUGGGCGUAAAGGGUGCGCAGGUGGCCUGACAAGUCAGAUGUGAAAUACCGAUGCUUAACGUCGGGGCUGCAUUUGAAACUAUGAGGCUGGAGUGCAGGAGAGGGAAGCGGAAUACCUAGUGUAGCGGUGAAAUGCAUAGAUAUUAGGAGGAACACCAGUGGCGAAGGCGGCUUUCUGGACUGUAACUGACACUGAGGCACGAAAGCGUGGGGAGCAAACAGGAUUAGAAACCCCGGUAGUCC